CUACAGGCUUAACACAUGCAAGUCGAGGGGCAGCAUGGUCUUAGCUUGCUAAGGCCGAUGGCGACCGGCGCACGGGUGAGUAACACGUAUCCAACCUGCCGUCUACUCUUGGACAGCCUUCUGAAAGGAAGAUUAAUACAAGAUGGCAUCAUGAGUCCGCAUGUUCACAUGAUUAAAGGUAUUCCGGUAGACGAUGGGGAUGCGUUCCAUUAGAUAGUAGGCGGGGUAACGGCCCACCUAGUCUUCGAUGGAUAGGGGUUCUGAGAGGAAGGUCCCCCACAUUGGAACUGAGACACGGUCCAAACUCCUACGGGAGGCAGCAGUGAGGAAUAUUGGUCAAUGGGCGAGAGCCUGAACCAGCCAAGUAGCGUGAAGGAUGACUGCCCUAUGGGUUGUAAACUUCUUUUAUAAAGGAAUAAAGUCGGGUAUGCAUACCCGUUUGCAUGUACUUUAUGAAUAAGGAUCGGCUAACUCCGUGCCAGCAGCCGCGGUAAUACGGAGGAUCCGAGCGUUAUCCGGAUUUAUUGGGUUUAAAGGGAGCGUAGAUGGAUGUUUAAGUCAGUUGUGAAAGUUUGCGGCUCAACCGUAAAAUUGCAGUUGAUACUGGAUAUCUUGAGUGCAGUUGAGGCAGGCGGAAUUCGUGGUGUAGCGGUGAAAUGCUUAGAUAUCACGAAGAACUCCGAUUGCGAAGGCAGCCUGCUAAGCUGCAACUGACAUUGAGGCUCGAAAGUGUGGGUAUCAAACAGGAUUAGAUACCCUGGUAGUCCACACGGUAAACGAUGAAUACUCGCUGUUUGCGAUAUACGGCAAGCGGCCAAGCGAAAGCGUUAAGUAUUCCACCUGGGGAGUACGCCGGCAACGGUGAAACUCAAAGGAAUUGACGGGGGCCCGCACAAGCGGAGGAACAUGUGGUUUAAUUCGAUGAUACGCGAGGAACCUUACCCGGGCUUAAAUUGCAGAUGAAUUACGGUGAAAGCCGUAAGCCGCAAGGCAUCUGUGAAGGUGCUGCAUGGUUGUCGUCAGCUCGUGCCGUGAGGUGUCGGCUUAAGUGCCAUAACGAGCGCAACCCUUGUUGUCAGUUACUAACAGGUUCCGCUGAGGACUCUGACAAGACUGCCAUCGUAAGAUGUGAGGAAGGUGGGGAUGACGUCAAAUCAGCACGGCCCUUACGUCCGGGGCUACACACGUGUUACAAUGGGGGGUACAGAGGGCCGCUACCACGCGAGUGGAUGCCAAUCCCCAAAACCUCUCUCAGUUCGGACUGGAGUCUGCAACCCGACUCCACGAAGCUGGAUUCGCUAGUAAUCGCGCAUCAGCCACGGCGCGGUGAAUACGUUCCCGGGCCUUGUACACACCGCCCGUCAAGCCAUGGGAGCCGGGGGUACCUGAAGUGCGUAACCGCGAGGAGCGCCCUAGGGUAAAACUGGUGACUGGGGCUAAGAC
This 1443-nucleotide ribosomal RNA is filed under the name uncultured organism. RNAcentral describes it as "SSU rRNA". It matches the Rfam family "Bacterial small subunit ribosomal RNA". The record is from RNAcentral.